This is a non-coding RNA of Camellia sinensis, 209 nucleotides long. The record is from RefSeq and is a predicted model, not a curated record. NCBI's taxonomy places the organism in Eukaryota, Viridiplantae, Streptophyta, Magnoliopsida, Ericales, Theaceae.
UCCUCUAUAUAUCUUCUCUCUCCAGUUCUAAACGCCUUUUAGCCUUCAGCCCCAAACCAAAAGAGAGAAAGAGGGUUGAAGAUGGUGCAAAGGCUCACGUACCGCAAACGGCAUAGCUAUGCGACGAAAUCGAACCAGCACAGGAUCGUCAAAACCCCUGGUGGGAAGUUGGUUUAUCAGAGCACCAAGAAGAGGGCAAGUGGUCCUAA